UACGGAGGGGGCUAGCGUUGUUCGGAAUUACUGGGCGUAAAGCGCACGUAGGCGGCUUUGUAAGUUAGAGGUGAAAGCCCAGGGCUUAACCCUGGAAUUGCCUUUAAGACUGCAUCGCUAGAAUUGUGGAGAGGUAAGUGGAAUUCCGUAGUGUAGAGGUAGAAAUUCGUAGAUAUUCGGAAGAACACCAGUGGCGAAGGCGACUUACUGGACACAUAUUGACGCUGAGGUGCGAAAGCGUGGGGAGCAAACAGG
Molecule: ribosomal RNA, 255 nt
Filed under: uncultured bacterium
Lineage: Bacteria
Description: partial 16S ribosomal RNA
Rfam family: Bacterial small subunit ribosomal RNA
Source: RNAcentral